GACGAACGCUGGCGGCGUGCUUAACACAUGCAAGUCGAACGGAAAGUCCCUUCUUGCAUGGUACUCGAGUGGCUAACGGGUGAGUAACUCGUGGUUGGUCUGCCCUGCACUUCGGGAUCGGCUUCUAAUACUCCGUCUACUACCGGGUAGAAACCAUCAUUAGUGUGGUGGUUGGAUAGUUUUUUCUUUGUUGGAUGAUCUGGCGGCCUCUUAGCUUGUUGGUGGGGUAUUGGACUACCAAGGAGGCGAAGGGUAGCCGGCCUGAGAGGGUGUACGGCCACAUAGGGACUGAGAGACAGCCCAGACUCAUACGGGAGGGAGCAGUGGGGAAGAAUGCACAAUGGGCGCAAGAAAGAUGCAGCGAGGAAGCGUGGGGGAUGAAGGAAUUCGGGUUGUAAGCGAAUUGCGCUAGGGACGAAGCAUUUUGUGACGGUACCUAGAUAAGAAGCACCGGCUAACUACGUG
Molecule: ribosomal RNA, 465 nt
Filed under: uncultured bacterium
Lineage: Bacteria
Description: partial 16S ribosomal RNA
Rfam family: Bacterial small subunit ribosomal RNA
Source: RNAcentral